Molecule: long non-coding RNA, 10234 nt
Filed under: Brassica rapa (field mustard)
Lineage: Eukaryota; Viridiplantae; Streptophyta; Magnoliopsida; Brassicales; Brassicaceae
Description: long non-coding RNA (BRAP_LNC000634)
Source: RNAcentral
GCGAUUGAUCGCAGCGGUUGUCGCUAUGCUGUUCGUUUCUGUAUCGCUGGCGAUCAAAUAUUUACUUUUGACAUACAUUUGCUCUUGUGUACUUAGGUUUCGUCAAAAACGUGGCUAAAUCAUUAAAACUGUAAAGUGUAAUAAAUCACACCAUGGAUGCAAUAUGUUUAAUCGUUUCAGUUUCUUAUAUUUUUCCUUGUACAAGUUCACUUUUGUUUAUGAGUUGUCACAUUAAUAAACUAUAACUCUAAUUAAAAAGUCUACACUUGAAUAUUAUUCCUUGUAACUUAGAAUAUUGAAAAAGUCUAAAUAAUAAAAAAAAAGUGAUCAUACGAGUAACUUAUAAUAAUAAUCAGUACAAACUCAAAUCAAAUAAACUAGUAAGGUAAUCGAUAUCCUCUACUCAACUCAUUACCAAUACGAUCACGUAAACCUUCCAUGGCUCUAUCACCAGUCGGCUCAUAUGGAAUAUGUCCACCAUGACCAUCACCAUCUUCUUCUUCUUCUUCAUCUUCAUCUUCAUCUUCAUCUUCCUCUUCAUCUCUUUCUUCUUCAUCAUUAUCACCAUGAGUAUGAUAUUCUUCUCUUCUCUGCCAAUGCACAAAAUCAUUAUCUUCUCGAUGUGAAUCACGUAUGAAGUUGUGUAGAGCCAUCGUUGCCGUCACUAGCUUUAUCCAUUUGAUCAAACCAUAUUUUGGAUGCCUACGGUCAAAAGAAAUGAAACAAAAGAAAUGAAACAAAAGUCAUACUUAAAAAAAAACACUACAAUCUGAGUCAUAUUAAAACAGUCAUACUGAAACAGACACUACAAUCCUUCAUAUAUCUUAACUCCAAUCAUAUUUUCAAGAUAGCUAAUCUUAUCAUCAUCACUAGAGAAAGACAUAAAAGCCAUUCUGUUUUCUUCAACAGAUUUGAGAUGGUUAACUGCAGCAAUGUGAAAUGGUCUGUUCCCUUUCUUUUUCUCAUCAGCAUAUAGAGCAAAGAAAUACCUAACUUCUUCAUCGGUCCAUUUCUAAAUAACAAGUCUCAUCAAUAGACAAACAAGCUAAACUAGCAGAAAAAACAAUUACAAAAAAUCUAAGAAACUAGAACUGCCUAAAAUACUUACGUCAUCAGCCAUUCUUCUUGUCUUAUCUUGUUGUGAUUUAUGUCCAAACCUGAAAAGAUAAUACAGACCUAAGUGACCAAACUAUAAACAAUAAAUUUGACUUAAACAAAACGUCACAGACCAAAAAGAACUCAAACCCAUGUCUGAAAACAUUCACAGGAACUCAAACCCAUAAAACACAUGUCUGAUAAUCAGAUUAAAAACAGAGAUUUGAUAAUCAAAAUCUUGAAUCUAAAAGUAACCCAUAUCAAGAAUCAAAAAACCCAACAUCCAACUUAAUUAAUCUAAAGGUUCCAUUAUUCUAACACAAAACGCUAAGAGAGAAAGAGAGAGAGAGAGAGAGAGAGAGAGAGAGAGAGAGAGAGAGAGAGAGAGAGAGAGAGAGAGAGAGGGGACUGACCUUUAAGAGAGCUAAGGCGUGAGAGAUGGUGGAGAGAAGCGUGAGAGAUGGUGGAGAGAGAUCGUGAGAGAUGGUGAAGAGAGGUGUGAGAGAUGGAGAUGAGAGAUCGUGAGAGAUGGUGAAGAGAGGUGUGAGAGAGGCGUGAGAGAUGGUGAAGGGAGAGAGAGAGAGCCGAGGCCUGAGAGAUCGUGAGAGAUGGUGAGAGAGAGAGAGAGAGAGAGAGAGAGAGAGAGAGAGAGAGAGAGAGAGAGAAGAGAGGCGAGAGAGAUUUUAGGAUUUAGGUUUAAUGGUAUUGUUUUGUAAUUUUGAAGAUAGAUUGAGGGUAUUUUUGUAUUUUGAGUUUUUUUUUUUUUCUGAUCGCAGGUUUUGGUCGCAAACGCUGAAUUUCUCGGCGAUCAAAAUUUUUAAUCGCGGGUCGCUAGCGUCUGGUCGCUGCGAUCAGUCGCUGAACGUGCGACCGGUAAACGAACAACGUUUAGUCGCUCAGGUUGGUCGCUGACGCUAGCGACCUCCAAACGAACAGGGCCAAUAUAUUACAUAGUCGUGAUGGAUAUUAUUACCAUUUACAACAUAAGCCAAGCAUAAAAGAUAUAGCAAUGAUAGUAAUCAAAGUAUAAUUUAAAAGAAAAAAGUAUAAUAAAUCUCCCUAAUUCUAAUAUGAAUUAACUUUUAGACAACCAUUCGUUAUUAUGAAUCUAAAACGUGUAUUAAAGAAAAGCGUAUGAAGCUCAUAAACAACAAUAACAACAACAAACUAUGUAGGACGUUAAACGUAAUAUGCAUAUUACAUAUAACAUGUUUGGUUGAGCAAUGUGAAAAUGAUUGUACAUGAGAUGCGUCCGUACAAAGAUUCGGGUUUUUCUACGAAGUUGGUUGGAUAAUUUCAUAGUAAUAGAACUAACAUAAAGCGUGUGUGGUUUUGUUGGCGGCUAAUUAUCUUCACACGUUGCAAUGUUGCAUAACACCACGUAACGGUAACAUCUCUCCAACCGGUAUUGAUUUUCAUUACUUCGUUUAUAUGUUUUGGUUUAGUUUUACAUUUGAGAAAAAGUCAUCUUCCAGAUGCUUGACUUUUCUGACUCCCCAUGAAGGCAUGAAAUUGUCUGCCUACUUGUACGAUUUUUUUACCAUUUUCAAAGAGAUUCUAUUUUUUCCUAUAUAAUUUACACAAAAAUAGAAUAAUUCUAUUAUAUUAACUCUAUUAUAGAAUAACACUAUUGAAACAAAAUUAUAAUAUAAUUAGAGUUAUUUUAUUUUUGUAUAAAUUAUAAAGAGAAAAAUAGAGUUUUAUUGGAGAUGAUCUUAGACAAGUUACAUACGACAAAAAUAAAUAAAUACGCAAAAAGCAAGCUGAAAAACAUUUUGUUCUCUAGUUGUAACUUGCAGAACCGUCUUUAUAGUAUUUUUUUAUUUCUUAAAAUUGCUGAACCCAACCGAAAUCAACGACUAUAUGUGUCUUCAUUUAUUCAUAAUUGGUCUAUUCGUGUUGAUUGACUUUCAUUACGCUAAAGUAUAUUUUUGGAUGGGAGUAUAUAACAUAGAAAUUCGUAUAUUAGUUAAAUUUAUAGAGUUGAAACCUAAGUUAAUAGAGAUCAAAGUUCAAACAUAUGUGCCUUAUUUGUUUGUGUCUAACGAUCUUAUACGAAUUAACAUUUCUUAUCAACUCGACCAUUUAAAAUGACAAGGUAAGAAAUAUUCAUCAGUUGUAUAACGUUAAAUUAUGAAAUCUUGAUUCAGUACAUACAUUUUAAAACUAUAGAUAAAUAAUUUAAAUUUAUGUAUUUAGAAUCUAUAUUGACUCUCGAUAAUCCAUGUUAAGCAUGUAAAUGCAAGAUAGAAACACAAUACGGUAAUGCAGAAAGUAAAGCAACAGACAAAAUAAAUACAAACAACACUUAAGUUUUAUUAGAAAUCUCUUGUACACUUUAUUACAAUAUCUGCUUAAUCAGCUUUACACAGUUUAUUAAACCCUAACAACUGCUAUUGAAAGAUUCCUAAACUACCCGCUUAUAUCUCUCUUCCAUCGAGUACUUCAGCCACUGCUUUAACACGACCCAGAACACUUCCAAGAGCUUCUUUCUCUUUCUAUAAGAUCAGCCUCUGUGUCUUUGUCCCUCUACAGACGAUCCUAUAGCUAUCUUAUAGUUAUUCUCCAUACUCCCGAAACCCUAGUCUCAAAGACAACAUGUAUGGACAUCUUCCAUAACAAUAAGUGCAAUUUUUAUUUUCUUGGAAUGUACUUAUUCUUUUUUUUUUAAGUCAUAAAUUUGCUUUUCAAGUUUAUUCCUCUUUCCAUAUCUCCAAGAUACUCUCUUGCUCUCCAAGUCUACACGAUUCUAGCUCAGCACCUUGACUCUACAUGAUCUUCACCACAAACCACAACAUCUGCUUUAACAACUACGUCAACGACUAUUUUAGAGCAGACAUCUUACAUUUUCAAAGCAACGGUUAAAAUAAAUGGAAAAAGUGACAUUCCAAAUGAUCCAAUCCUUUAUUGUCAACCCCUAAUUAAAUUGACAAAGAUUUUUGACAGCUAGCACAGUUUUGACAUUUUAGGGUCUCAUAAUAUCAUGAGACCUAAUAUCAUCGUUUACCUUUAUCCAUUUAUUAAUAUUUGAAAAUGGUAGUUGUCAAUGGUCAUGGACUCGAAAUACAGAACGAUGACGUCUCCGAAUCUAAAGACAAAGAGAUUUGUCAGAGGGGAUCCAUCGUAUCCCAAACUCCCAAAGGCUUUCACAUUCACGUACGUGACGUAUUAUUAGACCUGAAAGGAUAUAUCCGUUCAGGUCUAUUAAAAAAACUACCUAACUAUGAGUCUAUGACCAAAAUUAUAACAACGGCAACUGAAUAACAUAUUACGUACUAUAGUUAGGUAGUUUUUAAAUCAUAAGUUCAUAACAUUUAUAAUCUUCGAUCCAUAAUACAUAAUAUUACCAUGUUGAGUUUUUUUUAAUCAUAAAAUUAAUUUGGUGUCUGGUCCUAACAUGACUUAAAUCGAAACACUAUAAAAGCUGAUAUGUAGCAAUUCCAUAUUUGCAUUCACUACUGCCGUCCCAUUCAUUUAUGAGACUUGGAUCAUUUUAAAAAGAUGUGGCCCUUACAAUUAAAUUAGGAAAAAAAGCAUAGAGAUGAACUGGAAUCGAAGAUGUGAGAAAUAAAAAAAUUUGUUUGUACUUGACCAUCUAAAUUACACACAAUUUUGUAUUUAAAAAUAUAGUCCAAUAUUUUUUGUCUUAACGUGUGGUCUAACUCUAAUAUGUUACAUGAUUUAAAGAAGCGAUAAACAUUUUUAACAACAAUGCAUCUUUUUGGUAAAAUGUUAAAAUUUUAUACUAAUUUUUUUUCUCUGACAAAAGAUACAAUGACAACUAGUAGCGGAAAGUAAAGAAGACAACAAACACAAUGACAACCUACUAACAACAACGAAGGAGCGGAAGGAAAGCAAAAUAACAUAAGCGAUUAGAUGGAUAUAUAUGAACCACAAUGUUAUACAUAUCUUCUUAACAUCAACCACAACAGAACUGAAGCAAUGAUAUGCACAUUUUGUUGUUGUUAAGUUCGAAUAAAAUGAAUUGCUAUUUUCUAACAGUGUCGCUUUUUCUCACUGUAAUCUUUGUUAUACUUCAACGCUCUGCUUUCUAUAAUCCUAAGAAACUCCUAUAUUUUGCAGCUACUAUACGAUUGCUAGAUCGACCUUGAAUUAAUAACUUAGAUUGCAAAUGUCGCUUUCUGUAACCCGACAAAAAUCACCGUUUCAAUCAGACAAAGUUGCAUUUUUUUCUUCAUGAGUAGUUUACACUUUGCACGCCGUGUAUUCGACACGACAUGAAUGUAUUAUUAUGUGAUAAGCUUUGAAUUAUUAUACGAUCAAUCGCUGUCUAAUAUAUAACAACGUUUCCAAAAAUAUCAUAUCAUUGUCUUUAAAUAUGUAUGGUACGUACGCAUGCCGUCACUACCAUGGCAAUAGUACAAGCCCCAUAUAUAACAAUUACAGAAAUGCUAAGGAUACUUUAACUUUCCCAAUCGUAUAUAUAAUACUAACAAUUAUCAUUAUUGUAAAAUACACAACUAGGUAGUUCGGCACAGCACAGCCAUACCAAUGGACAAAGAAACAAAUCUUUGUUACCCUGGAACCAAGGAGAUAGGGCAUAGAUUUUUCUUCAUUAUGGAUUGGCUUAACUGAUCCUAGUCGAUGUACGGUCCGAGCAGAAACUGAGAUUUCUAUAUAUAUAAGCAGAAAAUUUAACGAAUUUAAAACGUAGAUAGACAAAUUAAAUCAAAUAAACAUACUAUUUAUAUAUUUGAUUAAUUUGCACGUUAAAUUGCUAUAUGAGAAAAGAUAUGAUACAAUACAACACACAGCUCACUACAUUAUUGACUAUUAACUCAACACGCACAACACACAGCUCACUACAUGAAGUUAGUUUUAGUAGAUUGAAAUAAGUUAGUUCAGAAAUACUUUCCACCCAACUUAAUAUAUAUUUACCUAAUUAGUUUGGUGUAAUUAAAGCUUAAACUGAGAAAUGUGUACGAUAUCAGUCUUUUGAAGAAAUAUUUAUAUAUAGGAAAUUCCUUAUAAAAUAAAAUUUUCUAUUAGAGCAACCUUGUGGGCUAUAUUCUCAAAUGGAGGUUCUCAAAAAAUUUAAUACUACUAUUUUAAUUACAUAAUUAAAUUAUAAUCAAAAUUAAUUGAUCAAAUUUUGAAACGUAGAAAGUGCACCCCCUGAGGCCCUGACUUUAGUAGUGUUGAUACACUGUUUUCAGAUUUACGAUUAAUAUACACAUUCCACAUUCCUAACUAAUACGUUCAUUGGUUUAUCGAUUUCAAUAAAUACCAAGUAUGACACGCAAGUACAAAAUAUUCUAGAUAUAUAUUUGUAUACAUGACAAAGUAUUGCAAAUAGGUUCUCCAAGACUCAUUGAUGGCUAAUUAAAAGACCGAUUUUUUUCGAUAAAUUAGGUUUUGGUAAAGAGAUUUUUUUUUUUUUUGGAUCCAAAACGGUAAGCUGUUUUUGCCUUGAUAAAAAGUAAUUGCAAAUAUGUCAACCGAAAAUGAUUUACAGCAGCAGUAGUUGUAGUUAAUAUGAUAAGAGCAGCUUUAAUAUUAAAAUUGUGAUUUCGAUAUACAAUAUUCCGUAGUUUAUGAUUUUUUGGGUUACCACCAGCCGGUAGGGUUGGGAAGGAUAACAAAUACGCAUAUGCAUGGUUUACCAAAAUAGACCCAUUAAGAUCAGACCUGCGUGGCGCUACUUUAUUAGUUUUUGUUGUCUAAUUUUGCAUGAUAUUUCCAUCAAACAGAUUCCAAGACUCUAAACAAAACUCAAAAGGUUGAGUCACAAAACAAAACAAAAAAACGCUAUAGUUUUAGCUUAAAACGACACACGACAUGAUAUGAGUUAUACAUGUAACCUAUAACUAUAAGUGACAUGAUAUCAUCACCAUGUCCAUGUAUAUAUGAAAUCUGGCAUUAGUGUAUUUGUUAGGUGAGUAAUAUGCAAGCAUCUCGAGAAAGAAGAGAAAUUACAUUUCUUUUGUAACAAAGAAAAUAAAUUAUAUAAACGUCUAAAGUCAUUAAUUAAAUGUAUCCUGGACCGUUGCUAUUGUCUUUUUUUUCUGGUAAAAACCGUUGCUAUUGUUUUACUCAAUUAACUAUCAUUAUAAAAUGUAAUCUAUGUUUGCUUCUUAGUUAACAGUGUAUUAAGAUCUGCAACUCAUUUGGCCUUGUUUGACGAUUUGCGAGAUAAUGUUAGGAGUUUUCAAGGCUCCUAAGAUAAAUGUUGUAGUAUAGAAGAUUGUCGAACCAGUUCUGAGGGAUAUCAAAGCACUGAGAAUGCAAGUACUCACUUAAUCUAAGUGCAACCAAUGAUUUAGAUGGGUUUUAAACUACUACUAAACUAGAAAGCAAUAACAGAAUGAUACUUUCUUGACUAAGGGAAAAGAGAACUCAUGGGCAUAGGGAUUAGACCUUGGGUGAUCAAGUAUCGAACUAAGGAUGGCAAAUGAUCAAUCAAACUAUCAACCUUAAGCCUAGACACAAUUCUAAGCAAGCUCUAUGUCUAGAUGAAUGCUCAUUUGCUAACAUAUCUCAAACAUCAAAUGUCUUUGGUUGAAUAAUAUGAAAGCAAUCAUUACUAACAAGUCUAUUAGCUAUCUUAGCAUCUUUAACAACAAAUGUCUUUGGCAAAGUAUACUAAAAGCCUAGGAGAGUUGUCUCAGGCAUUUCAUCAAACACCUUUUGGGUGGGAAAUGUCUAUUGAUCAACUUUUGAGUGGCCAACUCAGAAGAUGCAUUAUGAAUACUCUACUAGCAAGGAACAAGAAUGAUCUACACUAAAACAUCCUAGAACUAACCUAAUCACCCUUAAUCUCCCUAACCCAUGAAUUCAAAAGGUGAUUACUCACUAAUCUCCAUGAUUCCUCUUAAACCCAUAUUGGAUUUCAGAUUAACCAUGUAGAGAAAUAGAUAAGAAAUCAACAAGAACACAAGAACAUAACAAAUCAAAACCCAAGAGAUGAACUUCUCAAGAGAGUUCUUGUGUCUUUCUCAAUAGAUCAAAAGAUAAAAGAUAAUCUGCCACUGGUGGCUACAAAAGAUGUUUAAAACAUAGGUUUUUCCAAGUGCAAAACGUCCAAAAUAAAUUGCAAAAAGGUCCUUAAGAAAUCAUGAUUUUCGGCAGCAAAAUAACGCGGAGCGACUUGCAGGUGUCGCUCCGGGAAGUCGCUCCAGGGCCGAUUUUUGGUGUCUCCGGGCGAGAGGUCGCGAGCGACUUUGGUGUGUCGCUCCAACGGGUCGCUCUGGAUCGGGAGCGACCUUGGUAGGUCGCUCUGAGAGGUCGCUCCAGGCUUCGCUUCGUGUCGUCUCUCCAUAAAGACGCGAGCGACCUCGGGGUGUCGCUUUGGGAGGUCGCUCCGAGAGGGGUGUGAGAUGCGAGCGACUUCGUGGUGUCGCUCCGGGAGGUCGCUCCGGGCUCGUUCUCGCGUCUCCGAGUGAUGAAACCGCGAGCGACUUCUCCCUGUCGCUCUGGUAAGGUCGCUCCAAUAGGGAAGUCAGAGCGACUUGGUGGUGUCGCUCCGGACUGGUCGCUCCAUGCCUUGCUCGCCCAAUGACCACUCUAAACACUCCUUUUGAGCUCCAAAUGCACCCAAAUGUCUCCAGAAACUCCAUGUGGUACUCAAAUACCUGAUAGAGACAUAUGUAUGCAAAAUGCAACCUAAACAUGUCUAAAUCCUAAUCUAUAUGAUGAAAAUGUUUAUGAAUGAAUGGAUAAAACAAUGUAAAUAUGCAAGAUAUCAACUCCCCCAAACUUGUUCUUUUACUUGUCCACAAGUGAACUUUCUAGAACUCAUAGGGAGAGAGGUUGAAGGAGGGAGCACAUAGCCAAAAGAAACACAACUAGCACACUCUCUUAUUACACUCUAGCUUCUCUAGGCCUAUCUUAACUCUUUUUGUUCUUACACUCAUCAUCAAGCAUCCACACAUUCAAAUCAACCAACUCUCACAUUCAUUAAGCACAAAACAUCAGGUGAAUUCUUGCAAAUGGUCAGUUGGUCCAAGUCAUUUGGUUGGGUAAGGGAAGGCUUUUAUUCAAGUGAUUCAAGAGGUUCAAAACAUAUGAUCUUUAAGGUGGUUUACUCUCAAAACAAGUAGCCUUGACAUUGCACAUAAUAUAUCUAAGAAAGGGACCAACUCAUGCAUACAAUGCUCAAUCUCCAUUGUUCUACCCUUUUCCCAAACAUACAAUUACACAAUCAUUCCCAAAUGUCAAACCCAACUCACAUCUCUCACCAAAAGAUCCUAAGAACUUUAACUCCUUCUCUUUGAAAUCUACAAGGGAUUUUUCACAACCUCAAAACAUUUCUUAGCUCCUAACAACUUUGCUAGCCCCUUUUUUUUUUUUCUUUUCUUUUUUUUUUUUUCGUUUUUUUUUCUUUUUUUUUUUUUUUUUUUUUUUUUAGGCUGGGGGCCAAGACUUUUCAAAACUUGAGCUAGAGGCUUCUCUACUUAUCCCAAUAAAACAAUUCACUUAAGCACAAAGAGUCUAUUCUUUUCUUUUUUUUUUUCAUUUCUCCCAAAUCAUAAUCACAACACUCACCCCCACCUAUAGCUAGACAAAGAGUGUCCAAUCUAGCAAAAUGAAGAUCAAGCAUUGUCGUUCCCGAUACUCUCAACAUUAUGCACAUGUAAGACUUUCCGAAGAAGGCCUCACUCAUCAAACAAUGAAAGCUUAAAAGGAGGAAAGGUUUUGGGAGUGGUCUACCACUAGAGUUUGUCAAAAAGAUUGGCAUAAAAGAUGUGACAACUCAAGUGUGUAUAGCCAUGACUCAGUACACAAGGGACCAUGAGCAAGAAGCAUUAAGUUCGUUCAGUUCAAAUAAGGUUGUAGUUGGCUUCAAAGACUGAGUUUCAGCAAUCAACAAGUUUCAGGAAGAGUUUUCAAGGCUCGAAACAUACAAGUCUUUUUGAGAGGUGCAAAAGCUACUCAGGUGCAACGUAGUGUUCUUUACAAGGCAUUCAAAUCAUUGCUCCCAAUGCAAGUGAAUGCAACCUAUAUGCUCUAGACUCUCCUAAAAAUGCAAAUGAUGCAAACUAAAUGAUUGAUUUUUUUUUUUUUUUUAUCUAUGCAAAUAGGUAUGCAAUGCAUGACUCAAUGAAACAACAUCAAAGCAAACAUGAUCAAAUACUUGGUACCUCCCCCAAACUUGAGUUACACAGUCUCUGUGUCGUCA